CCCUGUCGUUAGUUGCCAGCAUGUAAAGAUGGGGACUCUAACGAGACUGCCGGUGCAAACCGCGAGGAAGGUGGGGAUGACGUCAAAUCAUCACGGCCCUUACGUCCUGGGCCACACACGUGCUACAAUGGCCGGUACAGAGAGCAGCCACGUCGCAAGGCGGAGCGAAUCUAUAAAACCGGUCACAGUUCGGAUCUGGAGUCUGCAACUCGACUCCGUGAAGCUGGAAUCUGCUAGUAAUCGGAUAUCAGCCAUGAUCCGGUGAAUACGUUCCCGGGCCUUGUACACACCGCCCGU
Molecule: ribosomal RNA, 297 nt
Filed under: uncultured bacterium
Lineage: Bacteria
Description: partial 16S ribosomal RNA
Rfam family: Bacterial small subunit ribosomal RNA
Source: RNAcentral